GCGAGAGUGGCGGAACUGGCAGACGCGCUGGACUUAGGAUCCAGAGGGUCAUACCCGUGGGGGUUCGACUCCCCCCUCUCGCACCA
RNAcentral lists this transfer RNA (86 nucleotides) under Candidatus Rokuibacteriota bacterium. Its description in RNAcentral is "tRNA-Leu". It matches the Rfam family "tRNA". Rfam says of the family: Transfer RNA (tRNA) molecules are approximately 80 nucleotides in length. RNAcentral also lists the same sequence under 2 other names. The record is from RNAcentral. Lineage: Bacteria; Candidatus Rokuibacteriota.